GACGAACGCUGGCGGCGUGCUUAACACAUGCAAGUCGAACGAAGAGCGAUGGAAGCUUGCUUCUAUCAAUCUUAGUGGCGAACGGGUGGGUAACGCGUAAUCAACCUGCCCUUCAGAGGGGGACAACAGUUGGAAACGACUGCUAAUACCGCAUACGAUCUAAUCUCGGCAUCGAGGAAAGAUGAAAGGUGGCCUCUAUUUAUAAGCUAUCACUGAAGGAGGGGAUUGCGUCUGCUUAGCUAGUUGGAGGGGUAACGGCCCACCAAGGCGAUGAUCAGUAGCCGGUCUGAGAGGAUGAACGGCCACAUUGGGACUGAGACACGGCCCAGACUCCUACGGGAGGCAGCAGUGGGGAAUCUUCCGCAAUAGACGAAAGUCUGACGGAGCAACGCCGCGUGAGUGAUGACGGCCUUCGGGUUGUAAAGCUCUGUUAAUCGGGACGAAAGGCCUUCUUGCGAACAGUUAGAAGGAUUGACGGUACCGGAAUAGAAAGCCACGGCUAACUACGUG
Molecule: ribosomal RNA, 510 nt
Filed under: uncultured bacterium
Lineage: Bacteria
Description: partial 16S ribosomal RNA
Rfam family: Bacterial small subunit ribosomal RNA
Source: RNAcentral